This 102-nucleotide microRNA precursor is filed under the name Marmota monax (woodchuck). Lineage: Eukaryota; Metazoa; Chordata; Mammalia; Rodentia; Sciuridae. The record is from RNAcentral.
UGUGGGAUUGCUGGGUCACAUAGUAUUUUAUGUUUAGGUUUAUAAGAAACUGUCAAACUUUUUUACAAACUAGCUAUACCAUUUUGCAUUCUUACCAGCUAU